Molecule: long non-coding RNA, 1484 nt
Organism: Prosopis cineraria
Lineage: Eukaryota; Viridiplantae; Streptophyta; Magnoliopsida; Fabales; Fabaceae
Exons: 3
Source: RefSeq, a predicted model, not a curated record
UGUUUUUAUUUUUGAAUGUGUUUUACUCUGCAUAUGAGAACUUUUUCUUGACUUGUCAUUGGUGUGAUGUUUUAUAGUUAAAUAUGUUAUUCAUGUACUGCUCUAGAAAUGAGGCUUUUGUCUUCUUUUAUAUUGAAUCUGUUUAAAUUCUUUUAACACUGGUGUUUCUUGUAUUUCUUCGUGAUUCUACCUUUUGUCCUCAUUUAUAUUUAAUUUUCAAAAUUUUUUCCCCAUAUGUUUUAAUGAACUAUAUAUAUGGGGUAGAUUCAUUUAACCUAAGCGUAUACAUCAUGUAGAUUUGGAAAUUUAAUAUAUAUUUACGUGUGUUUGUAUAAGUAACAGAGGAGCAUUUGAUCAAAUCUUGAUGGAAUAGAUCUUUUAUAAACUUUUUACCUUUUGGUUGAAUAUUAUGUUAUGUUUGCAGGAAAAGAUGCUCUGAUGCAAUUCUUAGCAAAGAUGUUGUGAAUAAUUUGUAUGGCAAGAUUUAUUAUAAUCUUUAAUUUUUUUUUCAAGAUAUAUGUGAAUUUCCCCCACUUGCUUCCUUCUUUUUCCUCUCCCAAGGCAUCUUUCUUUGUUUCUCUGACUUUGCAAUUGUUAAGUCAUGAUCUGUAUAAAAAUAAAGAAAUAAAAUCCAUGAUCUCAUUUCUAAUGGGAUUACACCACAGUCAGAGUUUGUAGUUUCAGUUGAUCCUUCUUAUUCUUCCUUUUUAAAAUAUGAUAGAUGCAUGGUUUUCCAUGAUGGUAAGUAUCAUUGAAUUAAUUUAUAUCCUGUGUAAAGUUUGUUAUAUCAUUUUUGGUUGGGAUAAUUUCUUAGUGGCAAAAUGGUAUUUAGUAGGUGACUGAGUAGGUGACUAUACUAAUUUGACACUAAUUCUUUCUCUUUAUUCAAUUAUGACUGAGUCGGGAACUCCAAGUGGUAUGAAGAGCUUACCUCACCAAAACUCUUGAACACACUCCUAAAGUUAGUUAAGAAGUUCAUGACAAGAGAAUAUUUUCAUACUAGCCAUUAUAGGUGAAAUCUAUAAUGAUUGGAAGCAGUACUCAUUCUUCAAGGUUCAAGCCCUCGAUAGCUCUUUCUCUAUCCACGAAAGUCUUUGGGAGUAAUCCAUCUUAAGACUACGCUAAAAAAGGAUGUAGGAAGGAGAGACAAUAUGCCUAAUCUUUACAGUCACCCCAACAUCUACAAUGGGAGAUAGGAAGAGUGGAGAGAUUAUGUUGGAUAUGAGAAGCCUCAUGAAGUGAUGUCUACCUUUAAAGCCUGUGAAAGUUAUUAGGCAUAAGAAAAAAUAGUCCCUCUACAUCAUCAAGUGUCCCUCAUCUGUCAUGCUUUCAUAUUUACUUCAUUUUUUUAUGUUAAUCUUAUGAGUUGUCGCAUUUAAGUAGUGUAGUCGAUAUUGUGGGCUUCAUUACCCACAAGACAUUCCUACUGUGUUGUGUUUUCAAUCAACUUUUAAUUUAUAUGCCAAUUUUAAUUUUUGCUUAAA